RNAcentral lists this ribosomal RNA (2868 nucleotides) under Triticum aestivum (bread wheat). RNAcentral's name for it is "partial small subunit ribosomal RNA". The record is from RNAcentral. Lineage: Eukaryota; Viridiplantae; Streptophyta; Magnoliopsida; Poales; Poaceae.
AUGCAGCUGGACGACUCCGACGGCGCCCUCGACUCGUGGGCCCGCUUCUGCGCUCUCUCCGGCGAGCUCGUCGGCGGCGCCGGCGAUCUCUCCGUCGGCCCGCGCCUGGCGCCCGUCGUGGCGGACCUCUGCGCCCGCGGCCUCGCCACGCUCGUCCGCGACUACUUCCUCCACAACCUCGAGGAAACAUUUAGAAACAAUGCAGUCAAGAUGUUCUGGCAGAAAUUUCAUCCCUAUAGCAGUUCUUCUGCAGUAGAAAGAAUUAAAUUCUGUUCUAAAGUUUAUGAACUAGCUGGUGAUGAUUACAGAAUCCCUGUCCUUGGGUCUGUCAAGAAGUGGAUUCAAGACCUAAGAAUUGGCAAACUUUUCGAAAUUAUAGUAGAUUACCCCGAGAGUUCACCCGCUAUUGAAGACCUAAAGCAGUGUUUAGAGUACACGGGUCAACACUCUAAGCUUGUUGACUCAUUUAUCUCGUCAUUGAGAUAUCGCUUGCUUACUGCUGGUGCCUCAACUAAUGACAUAUUGCACCAGUAUGUUUCCACUAUCAAGGCACUGCGGUCGAUUGACCCCACUGGUGUAUUCUUGGAAGCGGUUGGUGAACCAAUUAGGGAUUAUCUGAGAGGUAGAAAAGACACUAUUAAAUGCAUAGUGACAAUGCUAACUGAUGGAUCUGGAGGAAACACAAGUGGGGAAAAUGCUGGUGAUAAUCUUCUUGAAGAAUUGAACAGGGAUGCUGAAAACCAGGAAAAUGCUGACUAUGAUGAUCAUACAAACAUUGAUGAGAAUCAAGCUUGGUUGAAUUCUGAAAGCUGGGCGCCUGAUCCUGUUGAAGCAGAUCCAUUGAAAGGCAGCAGGAGUAGGAGGAAAAUUGAUAUACUUGGGCUGAUGGUCAGUAUAAUUGGCUCAAAGGACCAAUUGGUCAACGAAUAUCGUGUAAUGCUGGCCAAAAAGCUGCUCAGCAAAUCUGAUUUCGAUAUAGAUUCCGAUAUCCGCAUGCUGGAGCUUCUUAAGAUUCAUUUCGGUGAGAGCAGCAUGCAGAAGUGCGAGAUUAUGCUCAAUGACUUGAUUGACUCGAAGAGAACCAACUCAAAUAUUAAAGCAUCAUUAUUAAAUGCACCUGGAACUGAAGAUCUUGCAGUUCCUGCUUCAGUUGAUAAACUGCUGUCUGAUUUUGCACAAAGAUUCCAUCAGAUAAAAACUCCACGGAAGCUAUUGUGGAAGAAAAAUCUAGGAACGGUCAAGUUGGAACUGCAAUUUGAGGACAGAAGUACGCAGUUUACUGUAGUACCUGUGGAGGCUGCAAUCAUAAUGCGGUUUCAAGAGAAACCAAGCUGGACUUCAAAGGCACUUACUACCGAAAUCGGCAUACCUGUAAACUCUCUCAACAGAAGAAUAGUGUUAAGAUUGCUUUAUGCUAAAGAACUGUUAACUAUUCGUGACAUUACUAACAAUGAAAUGAGCCAUCGUGACUAUCAUAUCAUGGCGGCGACAAGUAGCGAAGCCGUGCAGCAGGACGAUAGGCUGGGCAAGCUGCCCGACGAUAUCCUUGUUUCCAUCCUAGAGCGUCUGGACGACCUACGAUUCGCCGUGAGAAGCAGCAUCUUAAGCAAGCGGUGGCGACACCUUCCCGGCAUGAUCUCUGACAUCGAUUUGGACGUCUGGUCCUUCGUCAAGCACGACCAUGAUGAGGAUAGACGCAACACGGGGUUGCCACAGGCAGUGGAGAGCGUGCUGGCACACCAGAGCCGGCACAGCAUCGACCGCCUCGCCGUGCACUUCUUCUUGACGGACGACUCCGCCCGCAUCUUGCGCGCCGUCGACGACGCCGUGUCGAGCGGGAGGCGUCAGGUGACCUCCGUGGCGCUCUCGAUCCUCGGAGAGAAGCCCGACGUGCUCUGCGACGCGGGCGACAUGCUCAGGCACGCGGCGCGCCUCCUGCCGUCCCUCGCCGCGUACCCGAGCGCGUUCGCGGGCCUCGCCGACCUGCACCUGGAGAGCGUUAGGCUGGGCGAGUCCGAUGUCCCCCGCCUGCUGGGCGCCUGCGGCAAGCUGGAGCGCCUCGCUCUGCAGAACUGCGACUCCGGCUUGCGGACGGUGCUGCGGCUGGAGCACCCGCGGCUCCGCGAGCUCGACGCCGUCUUUUGCGGCUGCGAGGCGGUCGAGCUGAGGUCGCUCCCAAGGCUUGAGCGCGUGACCUGCACCCAAUGGAUGCCGUCGAAAAAUCUACCCCCACUUCUAUUCGGCCAGGUUCCAGGGCUCGAGGCCGUGACAUUCACUAACGCUGCCAUGGGUGGCGACAGGGCUCUCGGAUUUGGGGAGUUAGUUGGAGACGCUGCUGCGACCCUCCGUGAAUUAGUGCUUAACUUCCUAAAUGGAAGGGUUUGGAUCCAACCUCAGGAGCCGGUUCCUCUCAUGCAGAAUUUGAUGCAUGCUAGCUUUCAUAAUAUUAGAGAACAAUGCGAUCUCACUUGGACAAUGCUCAUUUUGAAAUCUGCACCCCACUUAAAGACUCUUGGUGUUACGGUAUCGAACCAUAGCUGUGGUGACACCGACCCAGAGGACGCUGAGAUCAUAAGGCGAUUAUUUUCCCAGGAAGAUAUUAUACAGUGGCAACCUUCUUAUUUCAAGCACUGUGACUUGUCUAUGCUCGUCAUUCAUGGUUUUCAAGUCCAAGAAAAAUUCAUGAAGUACAUAAAACGUCUCAUGAAAGUGGCAAUAAAUUUGGAAGAGAUGUGUUUGUUGCGCGAUGAAUGCAAGAACUGUGAGUUUUACCAAUCUCAAGGAUAUCCGCAGACAGAUAAGGAGAGGGACUCAACGAGAAGACAGAUUAACGACGGAAGAUUCGCCCCAAUCAAAGUGACUUUUUGA